GUUUGUUUGAUCAUUUCUUCUCUCUUUC
This 28-nucleotide small RNA is filed under the name Arabidopsis thaliana (thale cress). RNAcentral describes it as "ATSL117410". Lineage: Eukaryota; Viridiplantae; Streptophyta; Magnoliopsida; Brassicales; Brassicaceae. The record is from RNAcentral.